RNAcentral lists this ribosomal RNA (301 nucleotides) under uncultured bacterium. RNAcentral describes it as "partial 16S ribosomal RNA". It matches the Rfam family "Bacterial small subunit ribosomal RNA", at positions 509 to 808 of the family's 1533-position model. The record is from RNAcentral.
CAGUAGCCACGGUAAUACGAAGGGGGCUAGCGUUGUUCGGAUUUACUGGGCGUAAAGGGCGCGUAGGCGGGCGAUUAAGUCAGAGGUGAAAUCCCAAGGCUCAACCUUGGAACUGCCUUUGAUACUGGUUGUCUUGAGUCCGGGAGAGGUGAGUGGAACUGCGAGUGUAGAGGUGAAAUUCGUAGAUAUUCGCAAGAACACCAGUGGCGAAGGCGGCUCACUGGCCCGGAACUGACGCUGAGGCGCGAAAGCGUGGGGAGCAAACAGGAUUAGAUACCCGCGUAGUCCCUGUCUCUAUACA